RNAcentral lists this non-coding RNA (28 nucleotides) under Mus musculus (house mouse). Lineage: Eukaryota; Metazoa; Chordata; Mammalia; Rodentia; Muridae. The record is from RNAcentral.
UGGAAUAAGCAGCCAGUGACCAACCAGA